RNAcentral lists this ribosomal RNA (442 nucleotides) under uncultured bacterium. RNAcentral describes it as "bacterial SSU rRNA". It matches the Rfam family "Bacterial small subunit ribosomal RNA", at positions 354 to 796 of the family's 1533-position model. The record is from RNAcentral.
GUGAGGAAUAUUGCUCAAUGGGCGAAAGCCUGAAGCAGCGACGCCGCGUGAGGGAUGAAGUCCGUUAGGAUGUAAACCUCUUUUGCAGGGGAAGAAUGUCCCGACUUGUCGGGAUUGACGGUACCCUGUGAAUAAGCACCGGCCAACUACGUGCCAGCAGCCGCGGUAAUACGUAGGGUGCGAGCGUUGUCCGGAAUUACUGGGUGUAAAGGGUCCGCAGGCGGGCAAGCAAGUCGGUGGUGAAAUCUUUCCGCUCAACGGAAAAACUGCCUCCGAUACUGCUUGUCUUGAGUUCGAGAGAGGAUGAUGGAAUUCAUGGUGUAGCGGUGAAAUGCGUAGAGAUCAUGAAGAACACCGGUAGCGAAGGCGGUCAUCUGGCUCGAUACUGACGCUCAGGGACGAAAGCGUGGGGAGCAAACAGGAUUAGAAACCCGUGUAGUCC